ACGAACGCUGGCGGCGUGCUUAACACAUGCCAGUCGAACGGUGAAGCGCCUUCCUUUUUGGUGGGUGUGGAUGAGUGGCGAACGGGUGAGUAACACGUGAGUAACCUGCCCCCUUCUUCUGGAUAACCGCAUGAAAGUGUGGCUAAUACGGGAUAUUCUGGGUCUGUCGCAUGAUGGGUCUGGGAAAGAUAUUGUUUCGGUGGGGGAUGGGCUCGCGGCCUAUCAGCUUGUUGGUGGGGUGAUGGCCUACCAAGGCGGUGACGGGUAGCCGGCCUGAGAGGGUGGACGGUCACACUGGGACUGAGACACGACCCAGACUCCUACGGGAGGCAGCAGUGGGGAAUAUUGCACAAUGGGCGCAAGCCUGAUGCAGCGACGCCGCGUGAGGGAUGGAGGCCUUCGGGUUGUGAACCUCUUUCGCCAGUGAAGCAGGCCUGCCUCGUUUGUGGGUGGGUUGACGGUAGCUGGAUAAGAAGCGCCGGCUAACUACGUG
This 493-nucleotide ribosomal RNA is filed under the name uncultured bacterium. Its description in RNAcentral is "partial 16S ribosomal RNA". It matches the Rfam family "Bacterial small subunit ribosomal RNA", at positions 29 to 507 of the family's 1533-position model. The record is from RNAcentral.